RNAcentral lists this ribosomal RNA (445 nucleotides) under uncultured bacterium. RNAcentral's name for it is "partial 16S ribosomal RNA". It matches the Rfam family "Bacterial small subunit ribosomal RNA", at positions 354 to 796 of the family's 1533-position model. The record is from RNAcentral.
GUGAGGAAUAUUGGUCAAUGGACGAGAGUCUGAACCAGCCAAGUCGCGUGAAGGAAGACGGUUCUAUGAAUUGUAAACUUCUUUUGUGCAGGAAUAAAGUGGGUUACGUGUAACCUUUUGUAUGUACUGUACGAAUAAGGAUCGGCUAACUCCGAGCCAGCAGCCGCGGUAAUACGGAGGAUCCGAGCGUUAUCCGGAUUUAUUGGGUUUAAAGGGUGCGUAGGUGGAUUGAUAAGUUAGCGGUGAAAGUUUGCAGCUUAACUGUAAAAUUGCCGUUGAAACUGUCGGUCUUGAGUGCAAAUGAGGUAGGCGGAAUGUGUUGUGUAGCGGUGAAAUGCUUAGAUAUAACACAGAACUCCGAUUGCGAAGGCAGCUUACUGGGAUGCAACUGACACUGAUGCACGAAAGCGUGGGUAUCAAACAGGAUUAGAAACCCCAGUAGUCC